GAGUUUGAUCCUGGCUCAGGAUGAACGCUAGCGACAGGCUUAACACAUGCAAGUCGUGGGGCAGCGGGGGUGAAGGCUUGCCUUCACCUGCCGGCGACCGGCGCACGGGUGAGUAACACGUAUGCAACCUGGCCGUGACAGGAGGAUAACCGGUAGAAAUGCCGCCUAAUACUCCAUAACACUUUCGGAGGACAUCCUCCGGAGGUCAAAGGAAGCGAUUCCGGUCACGGAUGGGCAUGCGGCGCAUUAGCUAGUCGGCGGGGUAACGGCCCACCGAGGCGACGAUGCGUAGGGGUUCUGAGAGGAAGGUCCCCCACAUUGGAACUGAGACACGGUCCAAACUCCUACGGGAGGCAGCAGUGAGGAAUAUUGGUCAAUGGGCGAAAGCCUGAACCAGCCAAGUCGCGUGAGGGAAUAAGGCCCUAUGGGUCGUAAACCUCUUUUGCCGGGGAGCAAGAUCGGGGACGUGUCCCAGAUUGGAGAGUACCCGGAGAAAAAGCAUCGGCUAACUCCGUG
RNAcentral lists this ribosomal RNA (516 nucleotides) under uncultured Porphyromonadaceae bacterium. RNAcentral's name for it is "bacterial SSU rRNA". It matches the Rfam family "Bacterial small subunit ribosomal RNA", at positions 9 to 507 of the family's 1533-position model. Lineage: Bacteria; Pseudomonadati; Bacteroidota; Bacteroidia; Bacteroidales; Porphyromonadaceae. The record is from RNAcentral.